This 86-nucleotide transfer RNA is filed under the name Companilactobacillus sp. RD055328. Its description in RNAcentral is "tRNA-Tyr". It matches the Rfam family "tRNA". From Rfam's summary of the family: Transfer RNA (tRNA) molecules are approximately 80 nucleotides in length. Their secondary structure includes four short double-helical elements and three loops (D, anti-codon, and T loops). Further hydrogen bonds mediate the characteristic L-shaped molecular structure. tRNAs have two regions of fundamental functional importance: the anti-codon, which is responsible for specific mRNA codon recognition, and the 3' end, to which the tRNAs corresponding amino acid is attached (by aminoacyl-tRNA synthetases). tRNAs cope with the degeneracy of the genetic code in two manners: having more than one tRNA (with a specific anti-codon) for a particular amino acid; and 'wobble' base-pairing, i.e. permitting non-standard base-pairing at the 3rd anti-codon position. Lineage: Bacteria; Bacillati; Bacillota; Bacilli; Lactobacillales; Lactobacillaceae. The record is from RNAcentral.
UGGAGGGGUAGCGAAGUCUGGCUAAACGCGGUGGACUGUAAAUCCACUCUUUCGGGUUCGGAGGUUCGAAUCCUCUCCCCUCCAUC